RNAcentral lists this long non-coding RNA (364 nucleotides) under Gossypium raimondii (Peruvian cotton). RNAcentral's name for it is "long non-coding RNA (GRAI_LNC000980)". Lineage: Eukaryota; Viridiplantae; Streptophyta; Magnoliopsida; Malvales; Malvaceae. The record is from RNAcentral.
CACAAUCCAUUCAAGCCUAACUACCCACCUAAACACCACCCAAAUGACAUUACAGGCCCAAACGGCCCAAACCCAAAUGACAUUACAGGCCCAAACGGCCCAAACCCAAACCAACCAUGGCCCAAACUUAAAACAAUUUCAGCAAAAAUAAAAAAAAACCUAACCCUAGGGCGCCGCAUGCUAGGACCUGUUGCCACCGCCCUUGUCCCAUCACCGCACGUCCCAUCUGCACCGGCGCCGUGCACCUGCUCCAUCUGCAAAAGGAGAGAAAACACGCAAAAGCAGAAAGCAAGAAAAUGAGAGCAAAAAUAGAAACAAAAUAUUGUAAAAAUCGGCUAUAAAGAGCCGAAUGCUAACAUUGUAA